RNAcentral lists this ribosomal RNA (253 nucleotides) under uncultured prokaryote. RNAcentral's name for it is "partial 16S ribosomal RNA". It matches the Rfam family "Bacterial small subunit ribosomal RNA", at positions 525 to 777 of the family's 1533-position model. The record is from RNAcentral.
ACGUAGGGUGCGAGCGUUAAUCGGAAUUACUGGGCGUAAAGCGUGCGCAGGUGGCUAUGCAAGACAGGUGUGAAAUCCCCGGGCUUAACCUGGGAACUGCAUUUGUGACUGCAUGGCUAGAGUGUGGUAGAGGGGGAUGGAAUUCCGCGUGUAGCAGUGAAAUGCGUAGAUAUGCGGAGGAACACCGAUGGCGAAGGCAGUCCCCUGGACCUGCACUGACACUCAUGCACGAAAGCGUGGGGAGCAAACAGGA